CAUUGUAUUUAUUUUCAAAGUACAAUGUAUGUGAAAUUGAACAAUCAUAGGGGAAGUUUAUUAGUUUGUUUAAGAAAGGUUUUUAGUUACUUUAGUGUUCUUUCAUGUGAUCCCUAAUGCUAAUACUUUUCCAAUAACUGAAGCAUUAGUUUUACAAUGAGUGUGUUUGCAAUAUUUAAGGAAGUUAUGGGAUUAGGAAAAACAUUGUUAUACUAUUCUCAUGAAGAUGCCUUCCUAAGUAUUUUUUUUAAGACUAUUCAUUGAGUACUUGCUUUAAGAGAACUUUGAAGUGAGAUAUACAGAAUCAUCUUGGAUUAUUUCAGUUAAACAUGUUAGUUGUUGGAUUGAGAGAAUCCCAGCCAGAUAAGGCAAAGGAAAGGCCUUUAGGACUCAGGCAGUGUGGAAUGCUUCUUUUCUACCCAACUUGCUGCUGUUAGGCUGCUGACUAAGGUCUGUGUGUGGCUGCUGGACGUGGUUUCAGCUUGUGGCCCCCAGGACCAGCCAGACCUGGGAAGUGUGGCAGUGGCUUCUGUCACCAGGCCAACUGGCUCUUUGUGAAUCAGCCAGUUUUAAUGGACAUGGAGGAAAUAUUCCAUGACAAAGAUACUCGGGAUCUCCCAGCGACCGGGCAACCAACAUGCAAAGGAAUCCCAUCCGGCUGUCUUUCCUCUUGUCUCCUGUGAGAGACCCCUGUCUGAGGGCAACCAGGUAUCUGUGGGCUGCCUGGCACGGGACUACCUGCCCAGUAAAGUGUCCUUCUCCUGGACCUACAAGAACAACAACUCUGAAGUAAACCAGGUUGCCAGAACCUUCCCAGAAAUACUGAUUGGGGGCAAAUAUGCGGCCACAUCCCAGUUGCUCCUGAGCUCCAAGGAUGUCAUCCAAGACACUGACAUUCGCCUAGUGUGCAAGGUUGUCCACGGCACAAACAACAAAGACACAGAUGUAAUCAUUGAAGGGCAAGCGCAGCAGGCCCCCAAUGUGACUGUGUUCGUCCCACCCCGAGAAUCCUUCUUUCAAACUCGUAAAUCCAAACUCAUCUGCCAGGCCACAGGCUUCAGCCCCAAGCAAAUCACAGUGUCCUGGCUGCGGGAUGGAAAGAUUAUAGAGACCGGCAUUGUCACAGACCAGGUAGUGGCUGAGAAAAAAGAUGCCUCGUCCCUCCCGACUUUCAGGGUUACCAGCACACUGACCAUCCGUGAGGAUGAUUGGCUGGGCCAGAAGAUGUUCACCUGCCGUGUGACUCACAAGACAGGCAUCAUUAAAAAGAAUGUGUCCUCCUCCGUGUGUAUCCCCACAACUCCAGCCACAGAUAUUCGUGUCUUCACCAUUCCUCCCUCGUUUUAUGAUGUCUUCCACACCAAGUCUGUCAAGCUGACCUGCCUGGUCACUGACCUGCUCCACCCUGGGGGACUGAACAUCUCCUGGUCCAUGAACGAUGGCAAGGAACUGACAACAAAAUUUGGAGACCCUAAGAGCCAUGACAAUGGCACUCUAAGUGCCAUUGGUGAGGCCAGCAUCUGUGUGGAAGAGUGGGACUCUGGGAAGGAGUUCACAUGCACUGUGAUCCACCAGGACCUGCCUUUCCCAGUGAAGAAGACCAUCUUCAAGUCCAAAGUUAAGAACAAGAAGCCCCCUGCUGUGUAUGUGCUGCCACCAGCCCGGGAGCAGCUGGUCCUGCAUGAGCAGGCCACCAUCUUCUGCCUAGUGAAGGGCUUUGCUCCUGCAGACGUCUUUGUGCAGUGGCUGAAGAGUGGGCAGCCCUUGUCCUCAGACAAGUAUGUGACCAGUUCUCCAAUGCCUGAGCCCCACACCCCAGGCCUCUACUAUGCCCACAGCUUGCUGACUGUGACUGAGGAAGACUGGAGCUCAGGGGAGACCUUCACCUGUGUCGUGGGCCAUGAGGGCCUGCCGCACAUGGUGACCGAGAGGACCGUGGACAAGUCCACCGAGGGGGAGGUGAAUGCUGAGGAGGAAGGCUUCGAUAACCUGUGGACCACUGCCUCUACCUUCAUCGUGCUCUUCCUGCUGAGCCUCUUCUACAGCACCACUGUCACCCUGUUCAAGGUGAAGUGACUGAGAUGUGAGAAGACAUGUGAGACCAGGAGCCCAACCACAGGGCCUGGCCUUGGGUGGCCUGCCCUGAAUGUUCCUCAACAUGUGCCUCUUCCCACAUCCUUCCAGCUCUGCUCUCUAGGAUCAGCCUUCUCUCCAUACCAGCACAAUAUCUCCACCAUGUUCACAGCACUGGGUCCUCAUGUGCUGCUUUGCUGUUUGCA
Molecule: non-coding RNA, 2279 nt
Organism: Octodon degus (degu)
Lineage: Eukaryota; Metazoa; Chordata; Mammalia; Rodentia; Octodontidae
Source: the annotation of a RefSeq genome assembly